Molecule: non-coding RNA, 238 nt
Organism: Pelobates cultripes (western spadefoot toad)
Lineage: Eukaryota; Metazoa; Chordata; Amphibia; Anura; Pelobatidae
Source: the annotation of a GenBank genome assembly
GCAGGUUCUCUCUGUGUGUGUGCUGCAUGGUGUGCGCAGGUUCUCUCUGUGUGUGCUGCAUGGUGUGUGCAGGUUCGCAUCCUGUAUGCUGCGCGCAGGUUGUCUGUGCGCAGGUUCUCUGUGUGUGUGUGUGCUGCAUGUUCGCUUUCUGUGUGCGCGCAGGUUCUCUCUCUCUGUGUGCUGCAUGGUGUGUGCAGGUUCGCUUUCUGAAUGCUGCGUGCAGGUUGUGUGUGUGUGC